Molecule: long non-coding RNA, 6264 nt
Organism: Doryrhamphus excisus (bluestripe pipefish)
Lineage: Eukaryota; Metazoa; Chordata; Actinopteri; Syngnathiformes; Syngnathidae
Source: RefSeq, a predicted model, not a curated record
GCAGCUCGAGACGUUCUUCGGUUUUAAAAAUGGAGGCCAGCAAUGGGCACUGGACUGCUCCGGAAAGUUUGUCUUUGAUCCAAACUAAAUUUCAAGACUGGACGAACGAAAAACUGGCAAUACGGAGUUAUUUCAACAAAUGAAAGAAAAACUCGGGGAAGCCGAUCCAAAAACUCAAUGAGGAAGUUCAUGCGAGCCUGCGUCUCCUUCCACGUCAACCCAUGGAUUCUUCCGUAGAAAGUGAGCGUGUCACUGAUGGUGAACUCGUUGUACAAUGCCAGCUCCUGUAUUAACAGGAAACCCAGGCGGCUUCCCCAGCACGCUAAUAUGACCCCGGGAGAUUUUCAGAGUGCCGACGAUGCAUUUCAGCAGAGUGGUCUUCCCGCAGCCGCUGGGGCCCAGCAGGCCGUAGCUGCAAGGCGACAAUGCAAAUACCACGUCAGAUUCCUGGUUGGAUUCCAGAUCAAUGGUAACUGGGAGAGCAUGUUAUCACAUAAAGUUGCACACAGAGCUUAGUGUUUUUAACAAAUCCAACAGAUCAUGACUAUGUAAGCUAAAGAGAUGAUGGCACCAACGAUAAGAUACCAGAGUUACGACAUGCCUUGGAUAUAAAGUGUGUCACAACCUGUUCCACUCUCUUUCCCAAUCAGGAGCUACUCAGUGAGGACAAAGUGCUCAUCACACCAUCUGUCAUCAGGCCAUAAAGUGAAAGGAGUAAAAGGUCUACUCUACCAAAUUAAAAACUUUGGCAGAAAAAUAUUAACAAUCUUAACAAUUAUAUAUUUAAAAAAUGGGGUUUAGUCUUUAACGCAUUUUGGACACUAGUGUCCUUGUGUGUCUUCGAAUAUUUCUUUGGCAUCAGUAGUUGUUGUACUGAGGAACUUUCACUCAACACACAGAAAAGAAAAACAAGUCGCACGAUGCCGACUGGUGAGCAUUCCGAGAAACUCCUUCACUCUUCAAACAGAAAACAAAAACAGACCUCACGAUGCUCAUUGCUGUCUGGCUUGUAUUCCAUUCCUCAUCCAAUACUAUGUAGUUAUAUGUUUUUAUUAUUUACAUUUUAUUUUCAGAGCAACGUAAAAACGUCCACAAGCAAACCCACGGGGAGAAGAUGCAAACACAGAGAUACCCAAGCCGAGAAUCAAACCUAGGUCUUCCCAAUCUCCUUACUAUGUGGCCUAUACAAACUCAACAGUUGAUCACUGUGUGGCCAGUUCCAAAGGUGAAAACUGGUGUUAUAUUUGUAAAUAAAUUGUUAUUUUGAUGGGCUGCACGGCGGACGUGUUGUUAGCGUGUCGACCUGAGUUCAAUUCCACCCUCGGCCAUCUCUGUGUGGAGUUUGCAUGUAUGUUCUCCCCGUGCAUGCGUGGGUUUUCUCCGGGUACUCCGGUUUCCUCCCACAUUCUAAAAACAUGCUAGGUUAAUUAGCGACUCCAAAUUGUCCAUAGGUAUGAAUGUGAGUGUGAAUGGUUGUUUGUCUAUAUGUGCCCUGUGAUUGGCUGGCGACCAGUCCAGGGUGGACCCCGCCUCUCUUCCCCGAAGACAGCUGGGAUAGGCUCCAGCACCCCCCGCGACCCUCGUGAGGAUAAGCGGUAGAAAAUGAAUGUUGGUGUCGUUGUUUUGAUAUUUGAGCUGUCAGUUAACAGCCAUAAUUUCACUUUGUUAAAAAUGUGAAAAAAACAAAGUUUCUCUGUCCACCGGUGCACAUUUUUCAAUGGCUUACACUAUUUCCACAGAAAGGUGUCUUCUCCACUUCAGGUUCGUCAAUUACACUUGAGGAAUGCUGCUAGGUGUCGGCCCAGUGAUGCAGUAGCUCACGUCAAUUGCCAUUCAUGACGUUAAAGUGCAGCACAUGACAAAAAAACAAACAAGUGAACAACACGCCUGUGCAGACGCUAAGUAUGGGACUUCUCUGAGAGAUCUUUAUGAACGACACGCAAGGGUUGCGCAAAGUUCCAAGAUGAGUUUAUUGUGAGGUGAGCAAUGUUGAGAUCUUAUCAGUCAUUUAACAUGACAAAAGGUAUAAAUGCUUAGAAGACAGGUCGGCCAGGUCCUGAUUACCUUGACUCACCUGGGAACAUGCAAAUGAGCCUGAUGCAGGAUGAAUGCAAACAAAAUGGUUGGACACCUCUCAUCGAUUGACAUGGGUGCAAGUGUUGCGAAGUGACGGCAGAUUUGAAGAGUGAGGUGUUCCACUUACAUGUGUCCCUGUGGUACAGUCAGGUUGAGGUUGUUGAGGACUUUCAGUUUGCCGUAUGAGCGGCAAACGUCCCGGCAAUGGAUUGCUGACGUUUCCUGUAUGGGAGGCAGGGAGGCCUCAAAAUCACCUUUCAUGUUCCCUUGUAUCUGCAAACAUUGAUGGAAAACAUGGAAAACUCUUAGAAUUCAUAUAUGUGAACACAUAGUAUGUCAUAUGAACACAUAUGUCAGCAGAGCGUUAUAAAUAGAGCAUAGCUCUUCAGAAAGAAAGGAAAUUUUCCUUUUGCUUCAAGCAAGUUUUUUAUUUACAACGUGGCAGCAAAACUGCAGUUAAGCACAAACAGAUUUGCAUGUCUAGGUUUUCUCACUUCUACCUUCCUUACUCCGCACUCUCCACGUUUAUUUAAUAUUUAUGACAAUAAAGUCAGAAAUUUAUGAUUUUUUUUCUAAUAAAUUUACCAUUUUAUUCUUGUAAAUUUCUCCUAAAUGUACAACAUUUACGACAUUUACGAAUCUCGAAAUCUCAGAUUAAUUUAAUACUCCGCCCUAUCCACAUGCCCAAGGCCAAAGGUCACAUAAGUGCCCCCUUUUCAUAUCUGUCCCAGGCAGUGCCUGUAACAUAGUUACACACGUUUUUUUCCCCGUAAAUGUACGACUUUAUUUUGUAAUAUUGCAAGUUUUUCCUUGUAAAUUUAUGACUUUAUCCUCAAAAUCUGAAAUUAUUUGAAUACUCUGUUGUAACAGGCAUUACCUGAGAUUUAUGUGACCUUUGGCUUUUGGUAAAGGUAAUAGUACAAUGUUUUUUCUCAUAAAUUUGUGAAUAUUAUGAAAUUUAUUCUAAAAAAAAUAAAGGUUUUUUUUCUAAAAAAAAAAAAUACAACUAUAUUCUUGUAAAUGUAUGAUUCUUUUUCUCAUUAAUUUAUAACUUUAUUCUCAUAAAUUUACAACAAAACAGAUGAAUCUGUUUUCAAUCUGUAAUUAACUAUUUUCACAAAAAAUAUAAAACUUAAAAUUAUUAAAAUUAUUGUAAAUUUAUGAGAAGAAAGUUGUAAUAUACAAGAAAAAUUGUCGUAAUAUUAUGACCUUUGGCCUUGGGCAGGUGGAGAUUAAUCUGAGAUUUUAUUCUCGUACAUUUACAACUUUAUUCGCAAACCCUGACCUUAUUAUUUUUUCAAUGUGACUCUAAUACUCAGUCGUACCACUCAACAAUGACAGAUCAUCUGAAUGAAAUAUAAACAAUAUACUUUAUCAAUGUAAUAUCUGAUCCAAUUUCAGGUAGAUUUAAAGACCCCAGCACUCAAGUGACAUUCCUGCUAAUAAUCCAGAAACGCGUGAAGGAGGUGACCAGGCGAGUUAUUUCUGCAAGAAUGCAAGCAGGGGAAAGAGUCAAAGUGGUUUUGCCCUUUCAGUCAAAAAAUUAACAACAACAACAACAUUCCCACAGCUUCACUUUGCAGUUUCUCAUACCUGGAGACAACUUCUUGACCUGACACAAAACUACAUAGUAAUUUCAACUAAAAACAAACCUCUUUCUCUCAACUAAAUCACUCCUUUAAUCCACCAUCUCUCAUUUUCCAGCAAAGAGAUUAGAAAGGCUAUGUUGCAUAAUCUGGGGCAUUAUGCUCAUGCUCACUUUUGGAACUUCAAUUUUACACCUGCAAAAAUUCUUCAAGAAGCACAGAGAGCAAAACUCACCCGUGGUGGAGAUGAUAAAGAUAAAAAAAGAUGAGGAAGGACUGAUGAUGUGUCUCUACUGACUCCAGCAGCUUCUUUAACCCAGAGAAGACUCAUAAAUACGCACAUGCAAAAGUAGCAGAACAGGUUCAACCCAGAUUGCAAUGAAUAGCACAAAGUCUCCAACAGGUGGAGACUACAUCCACAAAUGUGUGAACACAUUUUCAGACAAUCAAAAAUAAACUCACUGAGCUCCAUUCAUGCAAGCAGCCAUUAAGGAUGAAAAGCUCUCUUGCACUAGUGAUCAGGAAGAAUUCCCACCUCGCCUGCCAAAGUGGAAGAAAAUGGUUCGCGGCAAAUAACCGCCACUGUGCAUGCACAACAAGAUGCAUCCGCCGGCGACCACUUUCACUUCCGCAUGUAAGUGCACAGUGCAGCCCCCCAUUCCCAUCCAUCAUGAAUCUGCAUCCUCCAUCAUUCUACGCACGCCUGCAAAAAAAUGGCGUCCGCGGAUCUACACUGCAUAGGCAUUUUACCUGCUCCAUCUCGGUGCCUUCCACUUCCACGGAAGAGACCGACGCAGCACCCGAACUGGCAGCAUCCAUGACCAUGGCAGCACAGGAGGAUGAGCUGCACCGCCUCAUCACCAGUACGGCGAUGCCUGCUAUAAUGCAGAAGGGGAGGGGGGUGUGCAAGUCGCGGGGGCGUGCCGAGAGAACUAUUUACUGUAUAGAUUUAUAUUUUAUAUUCAACGUGUAGCUUUUUUUACUCACAAAUGAAACAACAGUCAAUGUUUUACUUGUUUAUGUAACAGCUAUUGGUGCUGAUGUUUGUUUCUUAUCUUUAUGACGUCAUGACAUCAUAAGGAAAUACUGUAUAAGCAAAUCGUUCUUAUAACAAUAACCACAUUGUCUUUUAUAAGAAAAAUUAAGUAGCCCAUGUUAAUUCCUGGCUGACACUUCAACCCAACUACAGCAUUUGUAAACAAUUUAGUUUAACCCAACAUUUACUAUAUAUUGUAUAUAAUAAUUAUUUAGUUUUUUUGAAACAUUGAUGUUUAUAGUUACUCAAUUCAGCAUGUUCUAAAAGGACUUGAAUAUUGCAUGGUUAUUGUACAGAAUAUUUACAGCAGUUUAUAUUAUGGUUUAUUGCAUGGUGCAAUAACUGUGCAAUAAACCAUGCAAUAACAUACAAUAAGUGCAGUAAUAGUGUAAUAAACCACAAUAUAAUAUGCUCCAAAAAUGUCAGUACAAUAAUCAUGCAAUAAACAAGUGCAAUGACUGUAAUGAACCCUGAUAUAAACUGCUCCAAAAAUUAUGCACAAUAACCGCCAAAAAACCAUGCAAUAAACGAGUGCAAUGACUGUAAUAAACCAUAAUAUAAACUGCUCGAAAAAGUAUAUAAUAACCAUGCAAAAAUCAAGAUGCAAUGACUGUAAUAAAGCAUAAUAUAAACUGCUCCAAUAAUUCUGUACAAUAACGUGCAAUAACCAUGCAAUAAAUAAGUGCAAUGACUGUAAUAAACUAUAGUAUAAACUGCUACAAUAAUUCUGUACAAUAAACGGCAAUGGCUGGAAUAAACCAUAGCAUAAACUGCUCGAUAAAGUAUAUAAUAACCAUGCAAUAAACAAGUGCAAUGACUGUAAUAAAGCAUAACAUAAACUGCUCGGAAAAGUAUAUACAAUAACCAUGCAAUAAACAAGUGCAAUGACUGUAGUAAAGCACAAUAUAAACUCCAGCCCGAGAUUAUUUUGUCAUGUAUGGACCCUGUUAACAUAAAUAGUAUUUCUUUAUCUUUUGAGGAAGGAAAUGAUGGCUCUAUUUUGGACAGUGUGAAUAUACAUUUCCUCACACAUUGUUUGGUUUCUUGUGCCGCGCAAGUCUACUUCUUUAGUUAAUUACAUAAUACAUUUGUUUAACUAAAAUAUGAACCCCCAAAAAACAUGUUCUGUUGUUAUGCUCCUUUACACUUCUUUUAUCAGUGGCCUGUAUUGUUUAUGUGUGUGCUGUAAGAGGAAAGGUUCUUUCUUUGUACCUAUACUGCACAUGUAAGGUAUAUAUGAAUAAUUCUUCAUAGUUGUUCCAGUGUACUUCCAGUGUGGCCGUUGCACCAGUGUUUUCUCCUCCUGAAAUGUCCAAAGAGAGAUAUCAUCACAAGUAAAAAUAUGUCAAAAAGAGGCUACAUUUCAUAUAAGUGAAUGAGGGUGGAAUUUUGAUUGGGGGUUUUGUUUGUGUCAUGGGUAGCUGUGGGUCAAUCUUGUGGGUCACCACAGUAGUUACAGUAAAGCAUGUAUGACAGGUGGCUGGAAGUUAGCUAGCUAACAAGCGUCAAGAGUUUUGCUGCUUUCGCUGCUUUUUUUUUUAGACAACCAUCUCCCAAUCUAUCGCU